UAUGUAUAGCAGUAGUACAGGGCCUGUUUGGUUUGGUUCUAAUUUAUUACCCUACCAAAAUUUUGUUAACUUUAAUAGUAGCAAGUGUAUGUUUGGUUUGCUACCAAAUUCUACCCACAAUAGUUUAAAUUAAAUACUACUCAAUUUGUUAGUGCCAAAAUUUACCAAUAUUUUGGCACUACCAAGAUUUUGGUAGGGCAAAAAUUGACUCCAAACCAAACAAGCCCAUAAUUUACUCGCCUACAUU
This 247-nucleotide unclassified non-coding RNA is filed under the name Oryza sativa (Asian cultivated rice). RNAcentral describes it as "partial microRNA MIR478a precursor". Lineage: Eukaryota; Viridiplantae; Streptophyta; Magnoliopsida; Poales; Poaceae. The record is from RNAcentral.